This is a non-coding RNA of Mycena vulgaris, 91 nucleotides long. The record is from the annotation of a GenBank genome assembly. Lineage: Eukaryota; Fungi; Basidiomycota; Agaricomycetes; Agaricales; Mycenaceae.
GACCCGGUGGCGGAUGGUCCGCGCCCACGCUGCAUAAGGGAAUGGUCGUGCCCAUCAGCGGGAGGUCCUGGUUCGAAUCCAGGCUGGGUCA